This 1885-nucleotide ribosomal RNA is filed under the name human gut metagenome. RNAcentral describes it as "bacterial LSU rRNA". It matches the Rfam family "Bacterial large subunit ribosomal RNA", at positions 507 to 2401 of the family's 2925-position model. The record is from RNAcentral.
GGGAAAGGUGAAAAGCACUUCGAACAGAAGAGUGAAAUAGUCCCUGAACCCAUACGCCUACAAGCAGUCGGAGCCGCUUCGUGCGGUGACGGCGUGCCUUUUGCAUAAUGAGCCUACGAGUUACUCAUCACCAGCGAGGUUAAGUACUUCAGGUACGUAAGCCGAAGCGAAAGCGAGUCUGAAUAGGGCGUCAAGUUGGUGGUGGUAGACGCGAAACCUUAGUGAUCUACCCAUGGGCAGGGUGAAGGUUUGGUAACACAAACUGGAGGCCCGAACCGGUAAACGUUGAAAAGUUUUCGGAUGACCUGUGGGUAGGGGUGAAAGGCCAAUCAAACUGGGAAAUAGCUCGUACUCUCCGAAAUGCAUUUAGGUGCAGCCUCUGUUGUUUUGUUCUAGAGGUAGAGCUACUGAUUGGAUGCGAGGGCUUCACCGCCUAUCAAAUCCGGCCAAACUCCGAAUGCUAGAACAUGAAGACAGGGAGUGAGCCAGCGGGUGCUAAGGUCCGUUGACGAAAGAGGGAGAACUCAGACCAUCAGCUAAGGUCCCCAAUUGUAUGCUAAGUUGGAAUUAAAACGGGGUGGGACUGCUUAGACAGCUAGGAUGUUGGCUUGGAAGCAGCCAUUCAUUUAAAGAGUGCGUAACAGCUCACUAGUCGAGCGGUCCUGCAUGGAUAAUACGCGGGCAUAAGCAUAUAACCGAAGCUAUGGGAUUGUAGAUGAUACAAUCGGUAGGAGAGCAUUCCAUUCAGCAUAGAAGCAGUACCGUGAGGUAUUGUGGAGCGGAUGGAAAAGCAAAUGUAGGCAUAAGUAACGAUAAUGCGGGUGAGAACCCCGCACGCCGAAAGAUCAAGGAUUCCCCGGCAAUGUCAAUCAUCCGGGGGUAAGUCGGAUCCUAAGGGUAAGCCGAGUGGCGAUCCCGAUGGCAAACAGGUUAAUAUUCCUGUACUGAUCAUAACUGCGAUGCAGCGACGCAGAGGUGACACUGCUGCGUACUGACGGAAUAGUACGUUGAAACCCGUAUUCUUUGAUACCGGUAGUGAAGCACGCCGGUAGAGAUGAAAGGUGAUAGUACCGCAAUGCUUCGGUUGCGCGGAUAACGCAGGUAAGCUGACUGCCAAGAAAACCUGCUAAGCUUCAGGUAAUGAUCAUCCGUACUGUAAACGGACACACGUGAUCAGGUAGAAAAUACUAAGGCGCUCGAGAGAUUCAUGGUUAAGGAACUAGGCAAAAUGGUCCUGUAACUUCGGGAUAAAGGACGCUCUUGUGAAAGAGCCGCAGAUAAUAGGCCCAGGCGACUGUUUACCAAAAACACAUGGCUAUGCUAAUUCGCAAGAAGAUGUAUAUGGCCUGACACCUGCCCGGUGCCGGAAGGUUAAGAGGAGAGCUCAGAGGCAACUCGAAGGUUUGAAUUGAAGCCCCGGUAAACGGCGGCCGUAACUAUAACGGUCCUAAGGUAGCGAAAUUCCUUGUCGGGUAAGUUCCGACCUGCACGAAUGGUGUAACGAUCUGGGUACUGUCUCAACCAUGAGCUCGGUGAAAUUGUAGUUCCGGUGAAGAUGCCGGAUACCCGCAACGGGACGGAAAGACCCCGUGAACCUUUACUGCAGCUUUGCAUUGAUUUUGGGUAACAGAUGUGUAGGAUAGGUCGGAGGCUUUGAUGCUGCGUCGUCAGGCGUAGAGUAGCCGUCGUUGAAAUACGACCCUUUUGUUAUCUGAGGUCUAACCCGUUAGGGAGACAUUGCAUGGUGGGUAGUUUGACUGGGGUGGUCGCCUCCAAAAGUGUAACGGAGGCUUCUCAAGGUACCCUCAAGGCGUUUGGUAAUCGUCUGCAGAGUGCAAUGGCAUAAGGGUGCUUGACUGUGAGACCGACACGUCGAUCAGGUUGG